RNAcentral lists this long non-coding RNA (5467 nucleotides) under Triticum aestivum (bread wheat). Its description in RNAcentral is "long non-coding RNA (TAES_LNC009893)". The stretch from base 3176 to 3262 matches the Rfam family "MIR1120/MIR1122 microRNA precursor family". The record is from RNAcentral. Lineage: Eukaryota; Viridiplantae; Streptophyta; Magnoliopsida; Poales; Poaceae.
UAGGACACAAGGAGAGAGAGAGAGAGCCCCCUUUGGUUCCAGUUUUCUUUUCUCUGAGAUGCCGGAGAUGGCGUUUGAGAUGAUGUAAACGGUUGAUCCGUUCGUUUUCCUGACAAAUGUGAAAAGGACAGACAUAUGGGUUUGUAAAUGGACAGAAAAUCCUGACAUAAAUAAAAUGUGUUUUUGCGCUGAAUCCUGCCCAUUUCAGCCUGCCUGUCUUAUAAGUACAGGAUUGCAGGCAGAAUUCUGUUUCUGCAAUUUGUUUACUCCAGUUUAUCCGUGCCAUCACCAUCACAAGCCUGACAAUACGCAGCUCUAGGCUAGCUGAACUAUCUGUAGUUUCAUGGGAUGCAAUUAACCAGGUGAAACAAGACCAAGCAUAUUGUCCAGCUAUUGGCAGAUUGUGCCACAAUCCUCCUACCCUUGUCCAGCUGCAGGCAGAUUGUUGCAAGGCAUCACCAAUUUUGUGUCAUCACGUUUCAGUUACACAUCAUUCUUCAGAAGCGCAAAACUGAGCAGAGUCUUUAUAAAGACAAAACACAUACAGUACAAUUCUUCUACACACACAAAAUAUGUUUCGACAAGACGCGAUCGGCAUAGCUAGGACCUGCUUGCUUGGAGUGCUGCUGCUAAUUUCACAUGAAACAGUUUGAUCUCUGCUUCCAAGAUAAAACAAAAUUACAAAAUCCUGUGGCCUAAUGUGGCAGUACCACACACAAUUCAGCCUCGGCAUUCCAGAUUGUAUGUAUGUAUGUAUGUAUGUAUGUAUGUAUGCAUCCUUUUUGCUGCAUCCUUCUCCCUUUCUUGCUUUGCUCCCCCUUCCCCCCUGCCUGCGGUCGCCGGUCGUCGUUCGCCAGCGCUCUUUUCUUCACCAACGGAACGGGUUCUGCUGUUGGAGACAAAACUUUAAUGAAAUCAGCUUAUAAGAUGGGUGCUACCACAAGCUCAAGCUGACAGUAGCGAGUGAGCGAGAGUGCCGGCAUUACCAUCCCCUUCUUUUUCUUCUUCUUCUCGAUGUACGCCAGCACCUCCUCCUGCUGCCCUUUCGACGUCUCCAGAAGCUGCAAUGUUACAUGGAUCCACCAUUAACGGAGACAAGGCUAGACAGGAGUGCUUGCCUGAAUCAAUGUCAUGUGUUGUGUCAGCUUACCUUCUUGGUGGCCUCGAGCUCGGCCUCGAGGGCGUCGAGCCGGGUGGCGGCGGCGGCGAGCUGCUCCGCCUUGUCGGCGGGCAUCUCGGUGGGCCGCGACCCGAGGGCGGCCACCUUCUCCUCCAGGUCGCCCACCCGCUUGGCCAGCGCCUCGUACUGCGCCGUCGACACCCCCGCCACCAUGACCGGGCCCCCGCCUCCCCCUCCCUGCCCCUGGGCCUGCAGGAGCUUGCGGUUCUUGGCCAUGGCCUCCAUGGUGGCGAUGCCCAUGGCCGCGUCCAUGGCGCGCUUCGGCGCGAUCUUGCCCACCCGGAACAUGGCCACCACCCCCAUCACGAACGCCAUGAACCCCGUCACCACCUGCCGGUCCCCGGCGUCGCCGUGCUUGUACGCGUCCGGCAGCGACGCGUACAUAUCUGCCACCAUGCCAAACACAUUCCCACUCUUCGUUCAGAACCACACGCAAACCAACGCCUCAUUCCAUUAGCUCUAUCUGCUUUUUCAUGGAGUGUUUGUUUGGUUGAAGGGUGCAAAGGCCGAGCUGACCUCUCGCGAUGGCGAGCUUCUCCGCGCUCAUCUCGCCGUUCCAGUUGAAAUCCAUGCCCUUGUCCGCCAUGGGGAAGAGCUCGUCGUAGGGCGCGGAGCCCCCCUCGUUACCGGAAGGAGCAGCCUGCGAAUCCUGGGUCAGAGAUGCAACAGAAUUAGGCUACAUACAUUCAAGUUAGCACUACUACCAUGGAAGGGACCAACAAUGUUGUCUGGCUCGCUACUGUAGCAAAUCCGACAAAUGCUAGGUGUUAGACACAUUCCUUCACCUUGGCCUCUUCAUUUGGCACCUCAUGGAGGGGAGCCAUAUGCGGCGGGUGUUCGACCUUGUCGUGCGCCACCUUAGGAGAGUCGACGCCGUCACGGCGCAUCGACUCUUGCUUCUGCAAAGGCGAUGUUCGUCAGAGAUGCGAGCGAUAUGUCGGGAAAAAAAGGCUAGGUAAAACCUGCAUAUAUGAGUAGGAAAGCUCGUGGCAACCUUUACAGCCGGCGCAGCAUCGUCCUCGGUGAUCGUCUUCUCCUCGGCGCUGGCAGGGUCCGAGUUGUUCAUCCCGCACCUCCCCAAGCCACAUUGCACCAUCUGAAGAAUCAAACCACAAAAUGUUCAUGGUACUGCUCAGGAGUGGGUUCAGCUGUAGUAGCAAUGUAGCAUCACUACUACUUUCACUGGCAAGUAUGCACUAGCAAAUAUUCAUUCCCACGCAUCGUGUAUGAACUCCGAUUGUUGGAAAAUAACCAUUAUUAACCUUUAUGAUUUCAGGGUCCUUCCACGGUCCUUUGUCGGAGCGCAUGCAACCUCCGCCCUCGCAUACACAAGUGCCCCCAAAGAAUUCGGGCAAUUCGCUGUCGAACCCCGCAGAACAAGAACAAAAAAAAAGUGAGUUCAACUUCAGCAUGCUGCUGAUACUAAUGCAAAGCAAUCUCAUUUGAAUUGUCAGUGCUGCCAACUUGCAAAAUCCUUUUAGAGUUGCUGUAUAAAAAGGGGAACUUCUAGGACAAACCUUGGAUCAAUGACUUCCAGCAACUUGCUCUGGUACUUGUUGCCGAGAACCUAAACCCCGAGGCAUGAACCGUGAACAAAAGGGAUUAUAAAUCUUGAUCAAGUAUAUAGAUUAGCUGAUGACUGACUGAUAAAGUACAUGAAGUGAAAAGAGAUGGGUUACAUGGAUCUUGGCUGUGGUCUUGGGGUCAAGGAAGGACUUGACGGUGUUCCACAGGAGCCUGAAUCCCUGACCGGCGUUGAUGAUGAACAUCCGGCACAGGGUCUGCAUCGUCAGUUAAAAUCAUCAGCCGAGCAUCAUUUCCUUCCAAGAAGAGAUAUUUGGCAAACAUGUAAAUCAAUAAAUUUUUUUCCCGGAAUUCCCUUGUCUAGAGAAUUUUCCGUCAAGUACUUCUAGUUGACAACAUUGAUUUUUAUUUUUCCGGGAGCGCACAAAUCUGCUAACAAAACAGGCUGACCAAAUUGUAGACAGAUAAAAAGUACUCCCUCCAUAAUCAAAUAUAAGAGCGUUUAGAUCACUAAAAUAGUGAUCUAAACACUCUUAUAUUUGUUUACAGAGGGAGUACACGAUAAAAUUGGGUUUAAUUCUCAGGUUUACAUGAAAUUGUCUGUGCCGGUUAGCAUUAAGAUUUCUGAAAGAGAAUCAAUACCGAAGCAUGGGCCGUCAAUGGAGCAGUAUCACUGCACACGCAUCGGCAUAUCGUAUCAUAUAUAUAUGGUAUACCUCAGGGAAGUUAUCCCCGUCGAUUUUCUGGAGCUGGCCGAUGAGAUCCCUCGCAGCCUUGUUGAAGUUCUUGUAGCCCUGCGACAUGCCCAACAGUGUCACAUCAACUUUUUCUCCAGUGUGGCUGCUAGCUCUAUGAAAAUGCUGAAGAAACUAGCUAGGCAUGGAUGAUGAGCAGUUAAUUAGUUACCACGCCGGAGACGUCGAGGAUGGUGGUGCUCUGGUCGACGUGGCGCUUGGCGGAGAUGGAGCAGGCCGGAAACUUGAGGGCGAAGGCCCUCUCGAACUCCCUCACGUGGUACCUCACGUAGCGGUCCAUGCUGGUGACCUGCAGCAGCUUGGUGGUGUCAAUGGCGCCCAGCUUCUCGAUGUAGAUCGGCCGGCCGUCCUUGUCCACGCCGUGGUGCCCCUGCGGGUAGUGCUCCAGCACCUGCUCCACCUCCUCGAAUUGGAAAUCCUGCGUGCGUGCGUACCUCGAAUUAAUAGUUGCAUUCAUCUCCCAUUAAUUUUCCGGAGAAGACGGUGAUGGAUGGGUAUCUAAUGGAGCACGCUACGCUACGUACUUCCAUGAUGGUGUCGGUGCCGAACUCCUUGCGCCAGUUGAGCAUGUCGGACCACAUCUGCUUGCUCUUGUCGAUCUCGAACUUGCGGGCCUUGAGGAAGCGGAGCAUCAUGUGGUAGUCGUCGUGGCGCGCCGGGAGGAGCUCCUCCAGGACCAGCGUCUGCCGGAACGCGUCCACGGAGGCCGCCUCCUUGGCGUCGCGCACGUCCUCGAUGGCCACCGACAUCACCUUGCUGCUGCGCUGCCGCCCCGACCGCCGGCUCAGCGAGCUGCGGAGCAUCUUGGAGGAGGCGCUCAUGGCGCGGUGCCGGAGCGACGCCGACGACGCCAUGCCGGGCGCCCGCGAGGUCGGGGUCGAGGCGGCGCCAUCCGCCGCCGCGUCGGGCGUCGCGGACAUGGGGCGGCGGGGGUGUCGGUCGUCGUCGCCUUAUUUCGUGGAUCGAUCACACCGGCUAGCUAGCUAGCGGGGACGGCGGCCGGCCGGGCGAGCGAGCGCCGCUGCACCACCACUGUCCUGAACGAUCAACCACCGCCGGCCAUCGCCAGCAAUUAGUUUCCUGGAUCGACGGAGAAGAGAUAACAAGAACCGAAUUUACACGGAUCGACAGGUGAAUUACCUACGUACGUACCAGGGAGACGGCCUUGCGGGGAGGGUGAAAUGGAGAGGGGAAGAAGAAGGGUGGGGACGGGGAAUGGCGAAUGCUAGGUAGAGUUCGUUGGUGCAUGCAUGGCCCCGGCCCGCCAUGGGCGUCCCCUUCCCCACGAGGCUCUCCCACUAUUUCAGGCACCAUGGUAGCUGCACCGCUCCUAACUUUAACUUGGACCAUGGCUGUUUUCAUAGUUGGUUUAUCUAGUUCAAAUCACGUUACUAAUUACUCUCUCUAUUCAUAAAUAUAAGAUGUUUUAAGUAUUUCAAUAUAAACUACAUACGAACUGAAUGGACUGAACAAACACACUAAAAUGUGUCCAUAUGCGCGAACUGAGCAUAACUCAAAUGGUUAGCUUCCUUAUGGUGGAACUAGCCCAUCAAGGUUGUCCUAGACUUGACACUGGUGUGUGUGCGUACCUUUAUAAAAAUGAGUGUAUGUGCAUGUGUAUGAGCAUCUGUAAUUGUACUAUGUAAAAAAUAUGUCUGUGUACAUCCAUUCAGAAAAAAGUUAGAACAUCCUAUGUACUCCCUCCAUUCCUAAAUAUAAGUCUUUUUAGAGAUUGACCAAUAUGGACUACAUACGGAGCAAAAUUAGUGAAUCUACACUCUAAACUACGUCUAUAUACAUCCGUAUGUAAUUUAUAUUGAAAUCUCUAGAAAGACUUAUAUUUAGAAAAGGAGGGAGUAUAUUGUAUGUGUGUGUAUGUGGGCAUCUGUCUAAGUACAACCAAUUCAAAAAAAGGUUAGUAGUGUAUGUGCAUGUAUGCCGGCAUCUUCUAAAUACAUCCGACUUAGAAAAUGGUUAGAACAAUGAAACUCAAAAAAAAAAAAAAAAC